UGAGGAAUAUUGGGCAAUGCCCGCAAGGGUGACCCAGCAACGCCGCGUGGAGGAUGAAUGUCGUAAGAUUGUAAACUCCUGUUAGAGGGGAAGAAUAGUACCGGUUGGACCGGUAUAUGACUGUACCCUCAGAGAAAGCCCCGGCUAACUACGUGCCAGCAGCCGCGGUCAUACGUAGGGGGCAAGCGUUGUCCGGAUUUACUGGGUGUAAAGGGCGCGCAGGCGGGAUAAAAAGUCAGUGGUGAAAUCCUACAGCUUAACUGUAGAACUGCCUUUGAUACUUUUAUUCUUGAGUUCGGGAGAGAGAGACGGAAUUCCAGGUGUAGUGGUGAAAUACGUAGAUAUCUGGAAGAACACCAGUUGCGAAGGCGGUCUCUUGGUCCGACACUGACGCUGAGGCGCGAAAGCGUGGGGAGCAAACA
Molecule: ribosomal RNA, 422 nt
Filed under: uncultured bacterium
Lineage: Bacteria
Description: bacterial SSU rRNA
Rfam family: Bacterial small subunit ribosomal RNA
Source: RNAcentral